UCCCUGGUAGUCUAGCGGUUAGGAUUUGGCGCUUUCACCGCCGCGGCCCGGGUUCGAUUCCCGGCCAGGGAA
RNAcentral lists this transfer RNA (72 nucleotides) under Dasypus novemcinctus (nine-banded armadillo). RNAcentral's name for it is "tRNA-Glu (TTC) (tRNA-Glu-TTC-7-1)". It matches the Rfam family "tRNA". From Rfam's summary of the family: Transfer RNA (tRNA) molecules are approximately 80 nucleotides in length. Their secondary structure includes four short double-helical elements and three loops (D, anti-codon, and T loops). Lineage: Eukaryota; Metazoa; Chordata; Mammalia; Cingulata; Dasypodidae. The record is from RNAcentral.